RNAcentral lists this ribosomal RNA (783 nucleotides) under Xanthoparmelia hypomelaena. RNAcentral describes it as "SSU rRNA". It matches the Rfam family "Bacterial small subunit ribosomal RNA", at positions 370 to 1164 of the family's 1533-position model. Lineage: Eukaryota; Fungi; Ascomycota; Lecanoromycetes; Lecanorales; Parmeliaceae. The record is from RNAcentral.
GUAUAGCAAUAGCUAGUUGCAUCAUAGUAGAUAUGAUGCAAGAUCGACUAUGUUGAAUAAAAUUCUAGGUAGAAUUAUGAUAAUGACAUUGUCUGCCUAUGUGUCUUGACCAAAUUACGUGCCAGCAGUCGCGGUAAUACGUAGAAGACUAGUGUUAUUCAUGUUUAAUCGGUUUAAAGGGUACCUAGACGGUAGAUCAAGCUUUCUAAUAAAGGAAAAGGACUAGUUUACUAGAGUUACUUAUGAGGGGGUAUUAAAGUACUGCUGGUGUAGAGAUGAAAUUCUGUCAUACCUCUUUUCAAAAGAAAAACCAUGGCACAGGUAUAGGCGAAGGCAUCCCCUUAUGUGAUAACUGACGUUGAGGGACGAAGGCUUUGUGUAGCGAACAGGAUUAGAUACCCCAGUAGUCGAAGCAGAAAAUGAUGAAUGUCAUAGAUUAGAUAUAUAAGUUUAUUCUAUAAAUGAAAGUGUAAGCAUUCCACCUCAUGAGUAAUUUGGCAACAUUGGAACUGAAAUCAUUAGACCGUUUCUGAAACCAGUAGUGAAGUAUGUUGUUUAAUUUGAUGUCCCGCAAAAAACCUUACCACAAUUUGAAUAUUUAUAUUGUUUAUUGUUUUAUUAUUAAUUUUCUUGAAGAAAAUUAAGAAAAAAGCAAUAAGAUAUAAUUUCAAGCGUUGCACGGCUGUCUUCAGUUAAUGUCGCGAGACUUUGGUUAGUUCCAUUAAAUUAACGUAAACCCUUACUUUAUUUUUAUAUAGAGUAGUUCCCCGCUAUAUUGGAUAU